GUAUUAUUGUAUUUUAUUGAGUUUUAUUAGACCGCCAGACCGCUUACCUUGCGUUUGAUAUUUAAUGUAGUGACAGCCCUAGAUACGCAGGAGGACACAAACACUGACAUCUAUCUCUUUGUACAGUACAAAAUAACUACCUACAACUUCAUGAAACACUUCCAGCUUAGAGCAAUAAGAACGUAUGCGAAUACUCACUUGGAGCUGCUGGCGGACUUGCAGUUCUCGCACUCGCUGCGGUAGUCGUCGGCGUCCUCGCCCCCGGGAGCGGCCGGGGCUUCGUAGCUGCACACGCACGACGGCUGCAAAUUAUAUUUGAAUGGUACACGCCCGCCAUACUGUUUGUUAUAGGCCAGAUUGAUUCGCUAAUGAUAAACGAAUAUUCACGAAUACGAAAUGGCUAUUAACAUGUCGAACGCCAUGCGGCCUACUGGUGGUCCUAGUGUACCAUAUAUACAAUUUUAGGGCAAACCAAAAUCAGGGAAUCAGUAAUUUUUAUCAAUUUGAGAUUUUUAUUCUAAAAUUUAUAAAAUGCGACAUUUGCACGGAAGAUAAAAAUUAGCUACUUUACCGUCUAGUUUUUAAGAUAUUUUAAAAGGGUUUUUUUUAAAGAAUAUUGUAAAAAUCUUGAUAAAAACUACAUAUGUACAACGUUCUAUUUGAUUUGAAAACUGAAAUAUACAAUAAUUAUUUUUAA
Molecule: long non-coding RNA, 697 nt
Organism: Bombyx mori (domestic silkworm)
Lineage: Eukaryota; Metazoa; Arthropoda; Insecta; Lepidoptera; Bombycidae
Exons: 2
Source: RefSeq, a predicted model, not a curated record